RNAcentral lists this ribosomal RNA (334 nucleotides) under uncultured bacterium. Its description in RNAcentral is "bacterial SSU rRNA". It matches the Rfam family "Bacterial small subunit ribosomal RNA", at positions 149 to 478 of the family's 1533-position model. The record is from RNAcentral.
AGUUGGAAGAUUAGUUAAUACCGCAUACGACCUGAGGGUGAAAGUGGGGGACCGCAAGGCCUCACGCAGCAGGAGCGGCCGAUGUCUGAUUAGCUAGUUGGUGGGGUAAAGGCCUACCAAGGCAUCGAUCAGUAGCUGGUCUGAGAGGACGACCAGCCACACUGGAACUGAGACACGGUCCAGACUCCUACGGGAGGCAGCAGUGGGGAAUUUUGGACAAUGGGGGCAACCCUGAUCCAGCAAUGCCGCGUGAGUGAAGAAGGCCUUCGGGUUGUAAAGCUCUUUUGUCAGGGAAGAAACGGUGAGGGCUAAUAUCCUUUGCUAAUGACGGUAC